RNAcentral lists this ribosomal RNA (467 nucleotides) under uncultured bacterium. RNAcentral's name for it is "partial 16S ribosomal RNA". It matches the Rfam family "Bacterial small subunit ribosomal RNA", at positions 28 to 507 of the family's 1533-position model. The record is from RNAcentral.
GACGAACGCUGGCGGCGUGCUUAACACAUGCAAGUCGAACGGAAAGGCCUCUUUCGGGGGGUACUCGAGUGGCGAACGGGUGAGUAACACGUGAGUAACCUGCCCUUGACUUUGGGAUAACUUCAGGAAACUAGGGCUAAUACCGGAUAGGAGCUCCUGCUGCAUGGUGGGGGUUGGAAAGUUUCGGCGGUUGGGGAUGGACUCGCGGCUUAUCAGCUUGUUGGUGGGGUAGUGGCUUACCAAGGCUUUGACGGGUAGCCGGCCUGAGAGGGUGACCGGCCACAUUGGGACUGAGAUACGGCCCAGACUCCUACGGGAGGCAGCAGUGGGGAAUAUUGCACAAUGGGUGGAAGCCUGAUGCAGCAACGCCGUGUGCGGGAUGACGGCCUUCGGGUUGUAAACCGCUUUCGCUCAUGACGAAGCUUUGUGUGACGGUAGUGGGUAAAGAAGCACCGGCUAACUACGUG